RNAcentral lists this transfer RNA (70 nucleotides) under Salmonella enterica subsp. enterica serovar Thompson. RNAcentral's name for it is "tRNA-Ala". It matches the Rfam family "tRNA". Rfam says of the family: Transfer RNA (tRNA) molecules are approximately 80 nucleotides in length. Lineage: Bacteria; Pseudomonadati; Pseudomonadota; Gammaproteobacteria; Enterobacterales; Enterobacteriaceae. The record is from RNAcentral. RNAcentral also lists the same sequence under 1 other name.
GGGGCUAUAGCUCAGCUGGGAGAGCGCUUGCAUGGCAUGCAAGAGGUCAGCGGUUCGAUCCCGCUUAGCU